CAGACGACACUGCUGAGCGGGGGCUAGAGGCUGCGUCCAACUUCUACUACAGGCCUCAGGCUGUGGGAUAUCAUCCACAGUAUGACUUCGGUGGCUGGAUGCCCAACACUCUCUCUGCAACACCCUCCACCCACCAUGAAAGGGACAGCAAGCGAGGCCAUGAUGCUGCAGACGUUACCUGACAUCAUCACCACAGUGCAGAGCGCCACUUCCCUUUGUCCAUUACGCCAACAAACCACCUGCCGACACCUGGGAAGCAGAAUAUUCCCAGAAGAAAGCUGAAAACUUCCUGAUGCAGCUCUGAAACGUCGCCGCUUUGCCUCACGCUGAUGCGCUUCUUUUAAAAUGUUGUAUUUUGCUUGAUUUUAUGCAUCCUAUGCAAUCUGUUUUCACCUUUAUUUUAUUAUUCUGUGGUUUUAUGCACUGUAUUUAUUUUUAUUAUUAAGUUAUUCUCCAUCUUAUUCUACAUUAAUUUUUUAUCUGUUUUUAUGACCAUUCUGUCUUUUCUGUAUAAAACACUGACUUGGUGCUCGUGACUUUCCUGUAUGAAA
This is a long non-coding RNA of Chelmon rostratus (copperband butterflyfish), 551 nucleotides long. RefSeq lists it as uncharacterized. The transcript is spliced from 3 exons. The record is from RefSeq and is a predicted model, not a curated record. NCBI's taxonomy places the organism in Eukaryota, Metazoa, Chordata, Actinopteri, Chaetodontiformes, Chaetodontidae.